Long non-coding RNA from Dunckerocampus dactyliophorus (ringed pipefish), 537 nucleotides. RefSeq lists it as uncharacterized. The record is from RefSeq and is a predicted model, not a curated record. NCBI's taxonomy places the organism in Eukaryota, Metazoa, Chordata, Actinopteri, Syngnathiformes, Syngnathidae. The transcript is spliced from 3 exons.
AGCCUGCGGCUCAGGAGGAGCACAUGUAAAUAGAGGAUGGGUGUAAAACAGUAAAACACGUCUGCUCCACCUUUAAGGGCGUAUGCCAAGCAAGGAGAAAAUUAUGAGGUUUGAGGUGAACACAGCCUUCCACUGUGGCCGGAUCAGGGGUUCUGCCCUGGAGAGACACCAUGGCUUCAACGUAGAGACGCACCACCUCACGGCAAAAGGAAAUGUGUGUUUCUGCAAUGAACUAAGUUUAGCCUCAGCCUGCAACACCACAGAUUAGGACCAGCAUGCCUCAAGCAAGUGGAGACACUAACGCACACACAGAGGGGUCAGCUGGGAUCCAAGACCACAGCCAUCAACAAAAAUGUUCUUUCACCUGUUUGAAUUGACUUUCAUACAAAUACUGCUACAAGGAAGAAAGUAAUGUAGAACAUAUUGUUAGAUGUUCACGGAAAGUUGGAAAAAUUGUAUCUAUUAUAAAUCAUAUCGUCCUCCUCUGAAGAACUCCCUUUCUGCUUUAUUUCUGGUCAGAAGAUUAAAAGGGAAACA